RNAcentral lists this ribosomal RNA (305 nucleotides) under uncultured bacterium. RNAcentral describes it as "partial 16S ribosomal RNA". It matches the Rfam family "Bacterial small subunit ribosomal RNA", at positions 505 to 809 of the family's 1533-position model. The record is from RNAcentral.
ACAGCAGCAGCCGCGGGAAUACGAAGGGUGCAAGCGUUAAUCGGAAUUACUGGGCGUAAAGCGUGCGUAGGCGGUUUGUUAAGUCUGCUGUGAAAUCCCCGGGCUCAACCUGGGAAUGGCAGUGGAUACUGGCAAGCUAGAGUGUGUCAGAGGAUGGUGGAAUUCCCGGUGUAGCGGUGAAAUGCGUAGAGAUCGGGAGGAACAUCAGUGGCGAAGGCGGCCAUCUGGGACAACACUGACGCUGAGGCACGAAAGCGUGGGGAGCAAACAGGAUUAGAUACCCGUGUAGUCCCUGUCUCUUAUAA